ACUGUACCUUGGCCCUGCGUCUACAGCAUACACUGGCUGCCUAGUCUUCCAACUCCACCUGAGGAAUGCAUCUUGUGAGACUGUGAGCAAGGGAUGGUGGGCAAGUGCAGUUGUGUAAGUAAAGGUGGGCAGAUGGGCUCCAACAGAUGAGGGUGUCUAGGCGGGGUUCACUGUUGGGGAGUUCCUUUGCCCUAGGACCUGCAUGGUUGAUAUCUUCUUUGUGUGCCAGUGGGCAUACUGGUGUGACCAAAAGAAAACCUGUUCUUUCAAAAAUUUGAAGACAUUUUCCUCAGUCUUCAAAUCUUGGCAGGUCUAUCAAACGAAGUCCAGAGAGUGGUUGGUAAAAUGUUUAUAUAUUCUAUUCUCUUUCAUUUUAGAACCUCAGAAAUCAGCUCUCUACUGAUGAAAAAAAUGGCUUCAUUAAAAAUCCACAAAUCCUUUGGAAGUUAGAAGCAAAAGAGGGUGUUGUGGCUUGAAUGUGAAGUGUCCCCUAUAGGCUCACAUGAUUCCAUAAGCCCCCAACUGUUUUGGGGGCUUAUGGAGUCUUGGGGGGACAGAAUCUAGCUGGAGGAAGUGGAUCUUUGUGGGGUGGGUCUUGAGGUUUCUGGUCCAGCCUUGUAUUUUGUAUCCUGUCACUGCACCAUUGUCUUCUGGUACCUGAGCAGGUAGCUGUGUACAUCUCUACAGCCAUGGAGAUGCCUGCUGCCAUGAAUUCUCUGUAGCUAUGGGCUUUAUCUCUUCAAACUCUGAGCCAGAACAAGCCUGACAUUUCUUACGGGCUUUUCCAGUGAUCUAGUUGCAGAGAUAAGAAUAAUAACUAAUAUAGACUAUGAAAGAGAGCUAUUCUUAUAAAUUCAAAUCCUAGGUGUGUAAUGUGUGCAUGUUUACCAUUGGGUCCAGUGUCUCAAGGGAUGUUCCUUAUGAAUACUUCCUAAUGGGGCUCCUAGUGAUUGCCCAGUUAUGGAGCUGCUUUUGAUAGAUGAGAAAUAAUCAUUGCAAUGAACUUCUAAUUAGAGUGAAAUUGAGCAUAUUAUAUCCUUUGCCAUUUUCUCUAUUGCACUUUUCCCUACCUCGUUUUUAAAUCUUUUCACACUCAGAAAAUUUGUCCUUUUUCUGUAAUAUAAAUGAAAAAAGUUUUUUCUCUCUCUCUUCCUUUGUCACUGAGUUUUUGAAUGACCUUAUGGCAUGUACCAGCUUGGUUUCUAUGGCUGUGAUAAAAGGCUGUAGUCAAAAGUAACUAGGGGGAAUAAACUGUUUAUUUAACCUUACAGUUUAUAGUCCAUUGGGGAAGACUAAGUAGGGACUCAAGGCAGACACCUGGAGACCAUAACUGAGGCAAGGGCUAUGGAGCAACACUGCUGACUGGCUUGCUCCCUAUGUUUGCUCAGCUUGCUUUCUUAUACAACCCAGGACUGCCUGCUCAGGAGUGGCACUGCCUAUAGUGGGGUGGUCCUUCCACAUCAAUCAUGAAUGAAGAAAACUCCCCCAGGCUUGCCUACAAGACAGUCUGAUAGGGCCUUUCUCAGUUGAGUUUCUCAAAUGACUCUAGCUUAUGUCAAGAUGGCAACAUUGUUUUGUUUUGUUUUGUUUUUCUGCCACAAAACUCUUUUAAACACUUGUUGAAAUUCACAGCAUCUCAUUGCUUGUUAGGUUUGCAGCUGCAGUUUGAGUUUAGCAUUAUUUCAUGUUGGAAAGUAUCCACCAAUUUUAAAGAUUAUUUUCUGAUCAUUGUGGAAUUCUUUAAGCUUUAGUUUGUUUUUAAUUAUGUGUAUGUGUGUUGGUUUGUGCACAUUAAAGGUGCCCAGUGAAGCCAUAGAUGGCACUGGAUCCCCUGGUUAGAAGCAGUUGUGAGUUGCCUAACAAGGGAGCUGGGAACUAAACUCUGGUCUUCAGUAAGACCAGGAAGCACUCUUAACCACUAAGUCAUUUCUCGGCCCUUUGUCUUAUUGUAAUUAAGAUCGUGAAUAUGUACUUUCUGGUGUAUGCUAUGAUGUAUGGAAUUCCACUUUAUUUUUAUCUCUCGGGCAGGCAAAACACCACUUUGUGGGGGCAAUCCAUACUCUUAACAGUGACUUCAGAAGGAUAGAAUGUCUCUCUGUCCCUUGUUUCUGAUUCUCUGCCCUUUCUGGCAUUGUUCUAAACUAUGGGUUCCAAUAUUGCAGGGUCCCAAGGUGCAAAACCCCUAAGCUCCUCCUUGGGAACUGCAAUAAUGUAUAAAACCAGGGGCAUCUUUGAAUCCAUAAUUUUUAUUGAUUAAAGGAGCUGUUGAAAUUCCUGGGUCCACUGUUUACCCCAGGAGGCAAUUUUGACCAUUGGUGGCCUGUCCAGUGGCUCUUUUCCAGACUCUGAAUAUACAUCUGCUGGUCCGGCACUGGGAAGCACUCUGACUCUAGUUCAUUAGAUCUUUAACUUUCUUCCCAUGGCUCAAUUGGUUCUUUUCUUACUUCUCUUAGAAAAGUGAGGGUUAUUCACCUCAUUCAUUGCUGACACUGAAGACUUCUCAGGGUGGGGAACAGUUGUAAAAAUAAAGAAAAUGUAUUAGAG
RNAcentral lists this long non-coding RNA (2544 nucleotides) under Mus musculus (house mouse). RNAcentral's name for it is "long non-coding RNA chr13:72702848-72705392". The record is from RNAcentral. Lineage: Eukaryota; Metazoa; Chordata; Mammalia; Rodentia; Muridae.